CCAGACUCCUACGGGAGGCAGCAGUGGGGGAUAUUGCACAAUGGGGGGAACCCUGAUGCAGCGACGCCGCGUGGGUGAAGGAGUGCUUCGGCAUGUAAAGCCCUAUCGGCAGGGAAGAAGCAAGACGGUACCUGAGUAAGAAGCCCCGGCUAACUACGUGCCAGCAGCCGCGGUAAUACGUAGGGGGCAAGCGUUAUCCGGAUUUACUGGGUGUAAAGGGAGCGUAGACGGCAGUGCAAGUCUGAAGCGAAAGCCCCGGGCUUAACCCGGGAACUGCUUUGGAAACUGUACGGCUGGAGUGCUGGAGAGGUAAGCGGAAUUCCUAGUGUAGCGGUGAAAUGCGUAGAUAUUAGGAGGAACACCAGUGGCGAAGGCGGCUUACUGGACAGUAACUGACGUUGAGGCUCGAAAGCGUGGGGAGCAAACAGGAUUAGAUACCCGCGUAAC
This 447-nucleotide ribosomal RNA is filed under the name uncultured bacterium. RNAcentral's name for it is "bacterial SSU rRNA". It matches the Rfam family "Bacterial small subunit ribosomal RNA", at positions 331 to 794 of the family's 1533-position model. The record is from RNAcentral.